This 156-nucleotide unclassified non-coding RNA is filed under the name soil metagenome. Its description in RNAcentral is "partial internal transcribed spacer 1". The record is from RNAcentral.
UCAAACAGCAACCUUCGGAAGCCCUAGUGGCUGCGUCUACACCUAAGUCUUUUGCUGUACUCAUAUGUUUCCUCGGCGGCGUAAGUCCUGCCGUAAUGGACAAUUCUCAAAACCUUUUUGUAAUUGCAAUCAGCGUCAUAAACAUAAUAAUUAUUA